RNAcentral lists this small RNA (1926 nucleotides) under Cryptococcus neoformans H99. Its description in RNAcentral is "Cryptococcus neoformans var. grubii H99 hypothetical RNA". Lineage: Eukaryota; Fungi; Basidiomycota; Tremellomycetes; Tremellales; Cryptococcaceae. The record is from RNAcentral.
GCAGAAGUGACCCAAAUGAGUUUGCUCUCCAAGGAAACAAACCUCGUCUAUUGUCGGAUAAAUAUGAGCUGUCACCAAGUUGUUCCUACUGUAUCACCGCGCUUUUCAUCAAUUACCUGUAAGUACCUUAAGAACGAGAUCAGAUGAGAUGUGCUUGUCUUCCGCUGUAUGUUAUACAGAUAGAGAAAAGAGUCGCGUAUCCCGCCACAAUCUUGAUUGCAAUUCAUAUCAUACAUCAUAGUUCAACACGGCUUCGCCAUCUUCUGGGAGCCAAACAAUCAUAAGGAUACACUUUGAAAACGAGACUACUAGCGAGGACCCGAGCAAGCUUCACGACUUCAUCGCACUGAUAAAGCAUACUAUGAUGCUUGCAACUCUCAUUCCUUGGGGAACUUCCGGAAGAUAUCGCCUAGUUUAUCGAUAGGGGCGGCGAGCAAACCUGCAACGGUCUCAAAGGGCUAAGUGCAAAGUAAACCAGGAUUAGCAUACAAGCUGUAACCAAGACUGCAAUUCGCUUAUGCUUACAGGCUUGUCAGGAGCCGAAGGGUGGCUCCGGGUGGGGACAAACAUCUUGGUCCUCUUAAAGCUUGCGGCAAGAGUGUGCGAUUCAGAGUUAGGGACAGCCUGUUCCAACUUGACGAGGUCUUCUGACUCUUCUUCCUUGAUAUGCUCAGCCAGAUCGGACAUCAACUUCUUGAUGGUAGGCUCAAAUUCGCUAUCACUUGGAGAUAGUUGCUGGAACUUGUGCAACAUCUCUUUGACCUGGUGGACGUUAGUCUGUGAAACCGUCUGCGAAAAUUUAAGGUAAAGUAUGUACCUUCUGAUGUUCUUCCCUAUCUCUAUCGGCCAACGCCUUACCGCCGUCUACAUACUUCUCGAGAGCAGGGUAAACGACAAGCUCCUCUCCGACGGAGUGGCGAGCAAGCUCCCAGGUGAACAAGUUUUGGUAUCGGGUCUUCGUAUCCGCAUCAGUAGCAUUGAUGAUAUGGUCGUAAUACUGUUCAAGCUCUCGGUGAUCGUGCUUGACAGCGUCUGCUACACUAAUAUUGCCUGUCAUAGUGCUGGUUGUGGUGCUGGCUGUGGGGCUUGCAAAGAAACGAGUGGAGACUACCAAUGGAGAAAGGGCGGCUCGAUUGAGGAUAAUUCUAGGGCUGAAUGCUCUUGAUGAAAGCAUACAAAGGCGCGAAGUUUGUAAUAGUAGGCAAUCUUUAAGGACACAAAGAAUGGAUGUGUCAGGAAGUCCUUAGAGGACGAUAUUUAUAGUAAUUUUCACGGGCUUUGUACUUCUUCCUUCCAGCAAACCUCUGCCAUGAUUAGACUGAUAGUAGAUGAAAGUAGCCAAUAGCAAUCGAAGAAUAGGUCAGGCUUUCACAGUGAGGUCAUUCGAUGCUUUGCGCCUGCGAUGACGAGCUUUCCUAGCUUACAGUUUACAAAAGCGGAGCCGUGGUGGUCGCCGGAUAAUCAGUGACCGACUCUUCCGUCGUCAUCUGCGGAUCCCCCCGUUUUGCUUUUUGGCUUUCUAUCAUCCCGUUCCCAUUAAUUAUUCGGCCAUCAUCACAUGGAGGAAAAUGGUAUUAAGCGAUAUACUACUAUAGUAAUUGACGCGUAAUGCGAAUUGUAGUAUGCAAUCGGAGAUAUAACAUCGAUUACUGAUAGUCAAAAAAGCACAUGCCUCCCACACUUGCGGAAUGAGAAUCGACAUGACACGACGCGGCCAACUGCCCUUACGGACAGUUAGUAAAAGGAGGCAGCUGACUGGAUAGGUCAGCAGUUGUGGCGUCCGGUUUGGGCUUUCGCUAGUACCCAUGCGUCAGUCGAUACGUAUAAGUUUGCCGUAGUGACAGUAGAGUACAAACGCAGCAACGAGGUACAAGUGAUAUGCGUAGGACAUGGAUUAUUUAAGGCUUGACACGAGAAUGAAGCCUU